CUCUGGUUCCCAGAAGAAAGUUAAGAGAACUCUGCCAAAUCCACCUCCUGAGGAAGCUUCCACAGGAACUCCAUCAACCUUCAGCACAAUGGGCACUGUGUCCAGGAGAAGGAUCUGCAGAACCAACACCAUGGCUCGAGCCAAGAUUCUCCAGGACAUAGACAGAGAGCUUGAUCUUGUAGAAAGGGAAUCUGCAAAGCUCAGAAAGAAACAAGCAGAACUGGAUGAAGAAGAAAAGGAGAUUGAUGCCAAAUUGCGAUAUCUGGAAAUGGGAAUUAACAGGAGAAAAGAGGCUUUAUUAAAGGAGAGGGAAAAGAGGGAGCGAGCAUACCUCCAGGGGGUAGCUGAGGAUCGUGAUUACAUGUCUGACAGUGAAGUCAGCAGCACCAGGCCAACCCGAAUUGAAAGUCAGCAUGGCAUUGAGCGACCAAGAACUGCCCCCCAAACUGAAUUCAGCCAGUUCAUACCACCACAGACACAAACAGAUUCUCAGCUGGUCCCUCCAACGAGUCCUUACACACAAUACCAGUAUUCUUCCCCUGCUCUUCCUACCCAAGCACCCACCCCAUACACCCAACAAUCCCAUUUUCAGCAACAAACUCUGUACCAUCAGCAAGUUUCACCUUAUCAAACCCAACCGACUUUCCAAGCAGUGGCAACAAUGUCUUUUACACCCCAAGCUCAACCUACACCAACCCCACAACCAUCUUACCAGCUACCAUCACAGAUGAUGGUGAUACAACCGAAGCCUCGGCAAACCACAUUGUAUUUAGAGCCCAAGAUAACUUCAAACUACGAAGUGAUUCGCAAUCAACCCCUGAUGAUAGCACCUGUUUCUACUGACAAUACAUAUGCUGUUUCCCAUCUUGGUAGUAAGUACAAUAGCUUAGACUUGAGAAUAGGUUUGGAGGAACGAAGUAGCAUGGCAAGCAGUCCAAUAUCAAGCAUAUCUGCAGAUUCUUUCUAUGCAGAUAUUGACCAUCAUACUUCACGAAAUUAUGUCCUAAUUGAUGACAUUGGAGAAAUAAGCAAAGGAACAGCAGCAUUAAGCAGUGCAUUUAGCCUUCAUGAAAAGGAUCUGUCGAAAACAGAUCGUCUCCUUAGAACCACUGAGGCACGUAGGUCUCAAGAAGUGACGGAUUUCCUAGCACCUUUACAGAGUUCCUCCAGAUUGCAUAGUUAUGUGAAGGCAGAGGAAGAUCCAAUGGAGGAUCCUUAUGAGUUAAAGCUUCUGAAACAUCAGAUUAAGCAAGAAUUCCGCAGAGGGACAGAGAGCUUAGAUCACCUUGCUGGCCUUUCACAUUAUUACCAUGCUGAUACCAGCUAUAGACAUUUUCCAAAAUCUGAAAAGUAUAGCAUCAGUAGACUCACACUUGAAAAACAAGCAGCCAAACAAUUGCCAGCAGCCAUACUUUAUCAAAAGCAGUCAAAGCAUAAGAAAUCACUAAUAGACCCUAAAAUGUCCAAAUUUUCACCCAUCCAAGAAAGUAGAGACCUUGAACCUGACUAUUCGAGCUAUAUGACUUCUAGUACUUCUUCUAUUGGUGGUAUUUCUUCUAGGGCAAGGCUUCUUCAAGAUGACAUCACUUUUGGCCUCAGAAAAAAUAUUACAGACCAACAAAAAUUUAUGGGAUCAUCACUGGGCUCAGGAUUGGGCACAUUAGGAAAUACCAUACGAUCAGCUCUACAGGAUGAAGCAGAUAAGCCAUAUAGCAGUGGCAGCAGGUCCAGACCUUCCUCCAGGCCUUCAUCUGUCUAUGGGCUUGAUUUAUCAAUUAAAAGGGAUUCUUCCAGCUCGUCACUGAGACUGAAAGCUCAAGAAGCUGAAGCUUUAGAUGUUUCCUUUAGUCAUGCAUCAUCCUCUGCCAGAACUAAGCCUACCAGUUUGCCAAUUAGCCAGAGUAGAGGAAGGAUACCUAUUGUGGCACAGAAUUCUGAAGAAGAAAGUCCACUAAGUCCAGUUGGACAACCCAUGGGAAUGGCUAGAGCUGCAGCUGGACCCCUGCCACCAAUAUCUGCAGACACCAGGGACCAGUUUGGAUCAAGUCACUCAUUGCCUGAGGUUCAGCAACACAUGAGAGAAGAAUCACGAACUCGGGGCUAUGACCGUGACAUAGCAUUCAUCAUGGAUGACUUCCAACAUGCCAUGUCAGACAGUGAAGGUAAAUUGGGCCUCAGACUACCCUGUUACUAUCAAAACUCAAACUCUCAUUUUUCUGCAUGUUUAAUUUUCCUUCUCCAAGGAUGUAUUCUACCUUUCUUGGUGUGUGUUAUGCAUGUUUACUUCAAUUUUAUUUCUUGUACAUGGAAAAUUUAUCUUGUGUAUAG
Molecule: long non-coding RNA, 2328 nt
Filed under: Marmota monax (woodchuck)
Lineage: Eukaryota; Metazoa; Chordata; Mammalia; Rodentia; Sciuridae
Source: RNAcentral